This 377-nucleotide ribosomal RNA is filed under the name uncultured bacterium. RNAcentral describes it as "bacterial SSU rRNA". It matches the Rfam family "Bacterial small subunit ribosomal RNA", at positions 523 to 898 of the family's 1533-position model. The record is from RNAcentral.
AUACGGAGGGUGCAAGCGUUAAUCGGAAUUACUGGGCGUAAAGGGUGCGUAGGUGGUUAAGUAAGUUAUCUGUGAAAUCCCUGGGCUCAACCUGGGCAGGUCAGAUAAAACUGCAUAACUCGAGUAUGGGAGAGGGUAGUGGAAUUUCCGGUGUAGCGGUGAAAUGCGUAGAGAUCGGAAGGAACACCAGUGGCGAAGGCGGCUACCUGGCCCAAUACUGACACUGAGGCACGAAAGCGUGGGGAGCAAACAGGAUUAGAUACCCUGGUAGUCCACGCCGUAAACGAUGUCAACUAGCUGUUGGUUAUAUGAAUAUAAUUAGUGGCGCAGCUAACGCGAUAAGUUGACCGCCUGGGGAGUACGGUCGCAAGAUUAAA